GCAUUUGGGGUUCUUCUUUUAUUUUGGUUCCGUAGUCGGACCUUGUUUGUAUAUGUAUGAUGUAAUGCUUUAUUCAUGUAAUUGUGUGAAGUGGCGAUUGUAAGCCAACUAUGUAUCUUUUUCCCUUAUGCAUUACAUGGGUUGUGUGAAGAUUACCUCACUAGCGACAUUGCUUUCAAUGCGGUUAUGCCUCUAAGUCGUGCUUCGACACGUGGGAGAUAUAACCGCAUCGAGGGCGUUACAAGUUGGUAAUCAGAGCCUUCCCCGACCUUUGGAGCCCCAUUGCUUGAUCGUUUUUAGCGGCCGAGUUGUGUCUAGAAAAAUGUUUUGAGUCAUUUAGGAAUUAUAUAUCGGAGAGUUUAGGAAUUCUUUUUACUUCCCAGUCUCCUCAUCUCUCUGGUAAGGAAUCCUGACGUAGAGUUUUGACUCUUCUCUUGUCAAAUUUCACUAAAAAAAUUUAGGAUCACACGGGUAUCUUGGAAUCGUUCCGAUGGUUUUAUGAUGAGAACAUUGUCUUGGUGCCUCCUGUCAGGGGUUUUGUGGAAGUGUCCCGGGGAGUUGAGCUCUGAGGUGUUGUCGUCAUAAUUUUAUCGUUGCAGUUCUGGAAUACCUGAGUUUAGUACGUCGACAUCGAAAAUCUCUUUUAUGCAGUUCGUUGGUGAGAUAACCUCGACGCCACCCAGUACUGGGGCGGGAGUUCGGGAGUAUUGCCAUAACUUGUAUAACGGAUGCUUUUCGAAGGUUGAGGUAGACGAUUUCCGAAGGUUUCUUGGUUAUGUGUUGAAGGAUGGAUACAGCUGGAUGUAGGAUUUGCUAGUUUUGGGUGAGAUAUUAUGCUUCCCCUGUAUCCCCAACACCUGAUUGCAUAACCGGAAAGUUUCGGGAGUUUAUAAGUGGGAAUUCAAGUAGGUCUUAGGAUAUGUUUCCGACAGACGUAUGAUAUGAAAUUGGGGUUCGACGUCUAGUGGUCCGCCUAUUCACGGUCGGUUUUACAGUGGUCUCGUUGUGUCUUAAAGAGUCCUUGGCUAUGCCGACUCAGGGACGCUUCGUAUGUCAUGUGCACUGCCUUGUACAUGAUGGUGCUGUAUGAUCGAGCCCGUGUAGGCCCCACCACGAAAACUUCGGACGAAAUCUCUAUCAUAUGUUUGUUCUGGCUUAUUCGGCAAGCCAAUCCUUGUUUUGUUUUUGAGUUGUGGUAUUCGAGUUGCUUCGAAGUCAAGUGUUGAUUCCAUACCUUUCCUAGACGGUGUUCUCAUACUCCAAUGUGAUUACAAAUCCUUCAUGAUAAUCGAGAUUGUCAUGUCAAUCCUUUGCACCGAUGUGUUUCUCUUCAAGUGGUUCCAAUCUUUUCAACAUCAACAAGAUCAAUUAUUAGUUCUUCUCAACGGUGUUUGUUUCAUUCGUCUUCAAGCUGCCUUUGUUUUCCCGCCCACCCUCCCUUUUUCUUCGAGGACUAAGAUUUCUUAAUCAAGUAUCCAUCGUAUUGAUGCGAAGUCUCUCCAUUCUUUUCUAUCAUUACUCUUACCCAGUGGUUCCCUUGAAGGUGUUCUUCUAGUUCACCAUUAUUCAUUCUUUUUCUUCUCCGGUGGAUUCAAUUCAAGUUUUCUGUGUUGAUCACAUCCUUUCCUCGUUUUAAAUGUCUUCUCUUGCCGGCGUACCUCUUAAUCAUUCACCUCUCGCUAUUCAUUUGUUCCGGAGUGCUGAAGAUAUUUCGAAGAUUUGUGUUUUCACUUUGCAUCCGAUCAAGCUAUUUCGAAGUCCUAUCUUAUUCAAGCCAUUUAAUUCAACUGGUGCAAUCUCUCCUUCAAAUCAUUCUACGAUGUUUUCUUUUGAGUGCGCCCUAACCCACGGGUCUUUUCCCAGGAUCUUACCUGACUCUUCUAAUUUUUUCCCGGAGUUACUCGCAAAUUCUUUUCGAAGUUUGACGUAAGAAUGAUUCAUCAUCAGUCAUAUGUAUUUCUCCAAGUUCUUUCAAAUUCUUUUCAUCGUUGGCUCAACCUCUUCGUUUUGAUUCUUCCGGAGUGCCUAAAUAAGUCGUGCUGGUAUUUCUCGUCGUCAUUCUCAGUGGAAGACCGAAGAAGAUUCUUCUUUCAACCUUGCUCCGUUCUCUUCAAGAUUCGUCACUCGAGAUUGUUGCCAUCCUCUCAUAAUUCUUUUGAUUGUCAGAAUUCUUUUCACUCUUUCGGAGCAAUUCAAGAGUCUUCUCAGUUUGUUAUCCGGAGGCCAUCAAUUCAAGUUUAUUCAUUCUCAGCUUUCAUUUUUCAUUCUCAAAUCUUACCGGUGCAUCAAUCUAAUAUACUCUACAUCUCUUCGUUCUGAUGUAUCUAAAUCCCCUCAAGCUUCUUCGUUCAUUUGCUAAUUCUUCCUGGUGAUUCUUUAUCUUUUCUUCGUUUAUUUUAAUUCUUACGGUGGUUCGUGCAAGAGUUCUCGUCAUUCGUUAUCAUAUUAAUUCAUUUGUUGUUUUCAAUCCUACCGGUGGAUUCGUCAAAGACAUUCUCAAGUUUAUGUUAUAUCUCUCUUAAUCCUUGAUACGAGAAUAAGUAGUGUGCCAAAUCCGUUGAUUGUCAUCAAUUUAAUUGGUGAAGGUUAAGCAUAAUGUAAUUCUUAUUCUUGUUUCAUCCAAGUGCCUAAUUUCCUAUUCCGGAGGCUCAUCAAAGUCCUGAAUUCAAUUGUGCAUCUUCUCUUUUUUCGGAGUUCUCAUGAAGGUUCUACAUGAUGGUUCAUCUAUGAUUUAAUUCAUUCUCGAAGUGUUCAUCAAGAUUCUUUUCAAAGAAUCUCAAGCUUUCUUCAUAUUGUAAUCCAGAGUGCAAUUCUUUCUUCCGUAUCAUGGGAGGUGGUAUUAUGUCAUUCUUGAUAAUUUGAAUUCAUGUUUCAUGAUUCACAUGUUGUCAUGAACGAGAUAUUUUAAAUCCAUCAAUCUCUUCAUUGCUAUUAUCUUGGUUUAUAUUUCACCUAAAGCCUUCUCUAAGGUUUGUUGCUAUUAUGGUGCUUAUAAUUGAUCCAAGUUCUUCAUUUAUCCUUUCUAGUGCGAUAUACUUUCUCACCAAUUAGUUCAUAUCAAUCCAAUUCUUUUUCCGUGAGUGGCAGGUUGUCACCUCAUAAUUCGAGAUGUAUUCCAUAAGACCAUAUCAAGCUUAUUCUUUUCGUUGUGGGUUUUCCAACAAUUCCGUUCUAGCAUUUGUUGUAAGCGUGCUACCUCGAGAUCUUGGUUUCCUUCGUUCAUCCCAUUCCAUUCUUACUUUUGUUCCGGAGGCAUUGCGAUGUUGUUUUUCUUCAACCAUCAUCUCGUUUCAUCUAAGAUCAUGUUCUUUCCUAUGCUUAUCCAUCUAACCAGAGUGUUGUGCCCUUUUGCUCAAGUUCUUUUCAUUUUAUCAAGUUGUUGACUUCCAUUUCAAACGGAGUGCUGCCCAAAUUUGUUCUUCCUUGUUCCUCUUUCCUAACGGGGUGUUUUCAACUUCGUUCAUCUCCAUUGUAUUCUUUUCUCGAAAUGGCUUAACCUUUUCAAGGUUCUUUGGUUUCACUCGUUUGUCAAAGGAGCAACUUAGUUUUACCUCUUCUCUUUCUCUUCCGUUUUCCCUCCGGUGCCAUUCUAGAUCUCGGGACGAGAUCCUCUCGUAGUGGUGGAGUGUUGUGACGCCCCGAGACCGAUGUACCAGGUGUCUUCCUGUUAUUCGCUAUUGUUGCCUUGUCAUUGCUUGCGUGUCAUGCAUUGCAUAUCAUGUCAUCAUGUGCAUUUCAUUUGCAUACAUGUUCGUCUCAUGCAUCCGAGCAUUUUCCCCAUUGUCCGUUUUGCAAUCCGGCGCUUCGUUCUUCUCCGGUGGUCAUUUCUACCUUUCUUUCGUGUGUGGGGAUUAAACAUUUCCGGAUUGGACCGAGACUUGCCAAGCGGCCUUGGUUUACUACCGGUAGACCGCCUGUCAAGUUUCGUACCAUUUGGACUUCAUUUGAUACUCCAAUGGUUAACCGAAGGACCGAAAAGGCCUCAUGUGUGUUGUAGCCCAACACCCUUCCAUUUUGGCACAAAACCCACAUAAACCCUCUCCAUCUUCUAAAGCGUUUGAUCACGAUCGUGUGGCCGAAAACCGCACCUCAUUUGGACUCUCCUAGCUCCCUCUACCUAUAAAAAAGUGAUCCCCUCCGAAAUUUGCGGUCUAACCCUAGCCUUCCCCUACCUCGUGCCCCCAGACAAAAAUCCUCAUCGCGCCGGACAUGUCCGCCGCCGCCGGCCACCUCACUCCGGCGAAUCGUGCGCCGCCACCUCAGCCCUGCCGGCGCCCUCACCCACUCAGUGCGCGACACGUCACUGCGCCCCGCCCCCUCUCUCUCCUCACGCGGCCGCGGCCCUGUGGGCCCGAGGCCGGCCCGCCCGGCCCGAGCUUCCCGCGGCCAGCGCCGCUCCUCCCGCGCGGCNNNNNNNNNNNNNNNNNNNNNNNNNNNNNNNNNNNNNNNNNNNNNNNNNNNNNNNNNNNNNNNNNNNNNNNNNNNNNNNNNNNNNNNNNNNNNNNNNNNNNNNNNNNNNNNNNNNNNNNNNNNNNNNNNNNNNNNNNNNNNNNNNNNNNNNNNNNNNNNNNNNNNNNNNNNNNNNNNNNNNNNNNNNNNNNNNNNNNNNNNNNNNNNNNNNNNNNNNNNNNNNNNNNNNNNNNNNNNNNNNNNNNNNNNNNNNNNNNNNNNNNNNNNNNNNNNNNNNNNNNNNNNNNNNNNNNNNNNNNNNNNNNNNNNNNNNNNNNNNNNNNNNNNNNNNCGGAGCUUGCCAGCCACCGCAUCAACUCCAGCCGCCGCCAUCCAUCUCCCGGCCAGAUCCACCAAGUCCGGCGACCUCCAGCUUCAUAUCCGGCGAGUUCGUCGUUCCGGCAAACCUCGUUUUCCACGCCGGCCCGAUCUGGAUCUCAGAUCCAAAAAUCACCUCGGUUGACUUUUGCCCCGAAACCCUAACUAUUUUGCGUUUUUCAUCAUGUUGUUUCUCCGCAUCCGUAGCUCUGUUUUGGGCAUAUAGCAUAUCAAAAUGUUCGCCCCAGAGAGUACAUAAUUUCAUAUCAUUGCAUCAUUUUCAUUUGAGUGCAUCUUGAUGCCCGAAAUGUUGUUAGAAGGGUGCUACUUGAGUUAAUUGUCAGAUCUGCUGCUCCAUUUAGAUAUUUGUCAUUUUUGCCAUGAUUAUUGUGUGCAUGUUAUGCCCAUGAGUUCUACAUAUGUUUUGUUAAGGGUUUUGCCAUCUUUCCAGAGGUGCAACCCAUGUAUUUUUGUGAUGUGUGUGGUGACUAGCAGAAGCUUGCAAAGUGAGGCACUUGGUAAUGCUGAUUUCAGGGACUUAGCAUUUGUUUAUCUCAUUAUGCCCAUGAGUCCUUGAUCUGUUUAUCUCAUUAUGCCAUAUGUUCAUGUUGUUUCCUAGUGAUCCGUGCCUCUUUUGAGGAUGAUCAGUAAGGAUGUUUUGUUAAUCUUAUAGUGCUCUAUCCAUCCUUGUCUUUGUUUGCAAUUAUGGAGCACCCUAGCUUGAGUCAAUCGAGCUCUACUUUUGCUACUUCGUGAAUCUGGGCAGAUUGUCUACUUGUUAGCGAUUUUGCCGAUGAUGUUGUAGUUGAUCCGUGCAUGCUAUGCUAUUGUUAUUGCCAUGUCUAGCUUACAUUUUAUGUAUUCUUGAUGGGUGUAUGCUUAGAUUGUCAUGACUUGCUCUGUAGUGAGUGCAUCGAGCUCGUAAACAUGCCUACUUGAUAUAUGUUUCAGCAUCCUCCAAUUUUCACUAAGUCUGGGAUCUGAUUAUGUUUUUGUCAUGUUCGCAUGCUUGUAAUUGUAUUUUCUGAUCCCUUUUGACUCAAGGUCACUAAGGGACUUUUGUUAAGCUCUUUGAGUAGCUCAAUGCCAUGCUUUACUUUGCCAUGUUCAGGUCCUGUAGCAUAUAGUUUUCAUGCUCCAAAGAGUGCUAUCUGAUCUGAAAUUCCAGACAAGUGUUAAUUUCAGUAAGUCUGAAAUCUGUUUGCCAUAUGCAUUUUUGCCAUGCUUGUUUGAACCUCUUAAUGUAUGAAUUGGUCGUAGCUCAGUGCUAGACUUUUGUUAAGCAUCAUGAAUGGAUUCCUUCCAUGUAUUUUGUUUCCAUGUUUGGGUGCUGUAGCAUGUUCAUCUCGUUGCAUUUAGAUGGCUACUUGCUGUAAAUCGCAGAACAUGGUCAUAUUUGAAUUGCUUGCCAUUUCCAAACCGUAACUCCGAUUCCGGUGAUAUUUAUAUCAUUUUCAAGCGAUUUCAUCUCAUCUUUCCAGUGGCACACUUGGAUUUCCAUGUUGAGGCCAGUUUCAUUCAUUCCUUUGUAAAUCAUGCAUAUGCAUCGCAUACCGCAUCCCACAUAUCAUACGAUGUUCAUGUGUUGGUUGUUUACUAUGUUGUGUGCUUCUUUUCCGGUGUUUGCUUCUUUGGGUUGGAUCCGAUAACGUCGCGUUUGUGAGGACCCGUUCGUCUACGUCCGUUUGUCUUCUUCACGGACACGUUCUUCUUCCUUGCAGGAUUUCAGGCAAGAUGAUCAUACCCUCGAAAUCACUUCUAUCUUUGCUUGCUUAGAUGCUCGCUCUUUUGCUAUGCCUAUGCUGCGAUACCUACCACUUGCUUAUCAUGCCUCCCAUAUUGUUAAACCAAGCCUCUAACCCACCUUGUCCUAGCAAACCGUUGAUUGGCUAUGUUAUCGCUUUGCUCAGCCCCUCUUAUAGCGUUGUUAGUUGUAGGUGAAGAUUGAAGUUUUGUUCCUUGUUGGAACAUGGAGAUGUUGUUCCUUGUUGGAACAUGUUUACUUGUUGGGAUAUCACUAUAUAUCUUAUUUAAUAAAUGCAUCUAUAUACUUGGUAAAGGGUGGAAGGCUCGGCCUUAUGCCUGGUGUUUUGUUCCACUCUUGCCGCCCUAGUUUCCGUCAUAUCGGUGUUAUGUUCCCGGAUUUUGCGUUCCUUACGCGGUUGGGUAAUAAUGGGAACCCUUGACAGUUCGCCUUAAGUAAAGCUCUUCCAGCAAUGCCCAACAUUGGUUUUACCAUUUGCCACCUAGCCUUUUCUUUUCCCUUGGGAGUCGAGCUCCUGAGGGUCAUCAUUAUUUUAGCCCCCCCCCCGGGCCAGUGCUCCUCUGAGUGUUGGUCCAACUGUGCGAUGUCCGGGGCUACCUGGGGCAACUCUGGGCUGGCCUGCCCGAUGUCUGGCUCAUCUGAGUGUGCCCUGAGAAAGAGAUAUGUGCAGCUCCUAUCGGGAUUUGUCGGCACAUUCGGGCGGUGUUGCUGGUUUAGUUUUACCCUGUCGAAAUGUCUUGUAGAACCGGGAUACCGAGUCUGAUCGGAAUGUCUCGGGAGGAGGUCUAUUCCUUCGUUGAUCGUGAGAGCUUGUGAUGGGCUAAGUUGGGAUACCCCUGCAGGGAUUUGAACUUUCAAAAGCCGUGCCCGCGGUUAUGGGCAGAUGGGAAUUUGUUAAUGUUCGGUUGUAGAAAACCUGAAGUUGACCUUAAUUAAAAUGCAUCAACUGCGUUGUAACCGCGAUGGUCUCUUUCCGGCAGAGUCCGGUAAGUGAACACGGUGUUGGAGUUAUGCUUGACGUAGGUUGUUUUAGGAUCACUUCUUGAUCAUACUUCUAUCGACCGUGCUUUGCUUUCUCUUCUCGCUCUCUUUUGUGUAUGUUAGCCACCGUAUAUGCUAGUCGCUUGUUGUAGCUCCACCUCAUACCUUUACCUUACCCAUAAGCUUAAAUAGUCUUGAUCGCGAGGGUGCGAGAUUGCUGAGUCCCUGUGGCUCACAGAUACUUCCAAAACUAGUUUGCAGGUGCCGUUGAGUCCGUGCAGAUGACGCAACCAAGCUCAGGAGGAGCUCGUUGAAGAUCUUGUCCUUUGUCUUGCUUCAUUCUAGUUGAUUAGUAGUGGAGCCCAGUUGGGGUCGAUCUGGGACCUUGUCGCAUUUGGGGUUCUUCUUUUAUUUUGGUUCCGUAGUCGGACCUUGUUUGUAUCUAUAUGAUGUAAUGCUUUAUUCAUGUAAUUGUGUGAAGUGGCGAUUGUAAGCCAACUAUGUAUCUUUUUCCCUUAUGCAUUACAUGGGUUGUGUGAAGAUUACCUCACUUGCGACAUUGCUUUCAAUGCGGUUAUGCCUCUAAGUCG
Molecule: long non-coding RNA, 8103 nt
Filed under: Triticum aestivum (bread wheat)
Lineage: Eukaryota; Viridiplantae; Streptophyta; Magnoliopsida; Poales; Poaceae
Description: long non-coding RNA (TAES_LNC001336)
Source: RNAcentral